CACCUGCUAUCUAUUAGCCCUAUUAAUGAUAGUGAGACAAAGCUGUGGAAUUUAUUCAUGUAGCUGCUGCCUUUGCUGUGGAUUGUGCUUUCCGUAUUUCAGUUUAUAUUUCUGUUUUUAAAAUAUAUAUUUUUAAUGAUGUUUCUAGUUCUCUGUGUUGCUAACAAUCAUAGAGAUGUGUAACUUGUAGAAGAGCUUGGAGGCCUAAGUGACUAGAACAUUCUUGAGUUUCUUCAGGAUAACACAUUCUUGCCUUGUCUUGAAGUCAUUUUCCUCCCCUUCUAUAAAAAAAAGGUGCACUGGAUGUGUGCUUAGCCAACAAACAAUAAACAUACUACUCCAUCAGAUCAGCCACCCAACCACGAGGGAGGAACUCUUCCUCCUUCCUGAGCAUCCGGAUGGUGUUUAUUUACCAAGAGUAGCAAGAGAUACUGGAAAAGACAAUUACUCCACUGGCAGUGGGCACUGAUCCUGCACAAAACCGAUUCAUUCAGUCUGCCUGUUUGCUGAUUGUGGAUUUAAUGAACCUUUAGUAAAAUUGUGAAUGGAUUACUUGUGCCCCACAGUAUUAUGUUGCCUUUUUUCCAAAGUUUGUUAACCAGAUAUGUGAUAUCUUUUAUAGCCGACAAUUAUUUUAAGUUUUAAAACUUUUAAAAAAUAUUUUACCCCGUUAUUUGCACAUUGACUUUUU
Carassius auratus (goldfish) is the source of this 691-nucleotide long non-coding RNA. RefSeq lists it as uncharacterized. The record is from RefSeq and is a predicted model, not a curated record. NCBI's taxonomy places the organism in Eukaryota, Metazoa, Chordata, Actinopteri, Cypriniformes, Cyprinidae. The transcript is spliced from 4 exons.